CCUACGGGAGGCUGCAGUGAGGAAUAUUGGUCAAUGGUCGGGAGACUGAACCAGCCAAGCCGCGUGAGGGAUGAAGGUACAGAGUAUCGUAAACCUCUUUUGUCCGGGAACAAACGCGGGGACGCGUCCCCGGCUGAGAGUAUCUUAAGAAAAAGCAUCGGCUAACUCCGUGCCAGCAGCCGCGGUAAUACGGAGGAUGCGAGCGUUAUCCGGAUUUAUUGGGUUUAAAGGGUGCGUAGGCGGAAGGUUAAGUUAGGGGUCAAAUGCCGGUGCUCAACUCCGGCCUGCCGUUGAAACUGGUCUGCUUGAGAGAACGAGAGGUAGGCGGAAUGCGUGGUGUAGCGGUGAAAUGCUUAGAUAUCACGCAGAACACCGAUUGCGAAGGCAGCAUACCG
RNAcentral lists this ribosomal RNA (395 nucleotides) under uncultured bacterium. RNAcentral's name for it is "partial 16S ribosomal RNA". It matches the Rfam family "Bacterial small subunit ribosomal RNA", at positions 338 to 731 of the family's 1533-position model. The record is from RNAcentral.